RNAcentral lists this ribosomal RNA (253 nucleotides) under uncultured bacterium. RNAcentral describes it as "partial 16S ribosomal RNA". It matches the Rfam family "Bacterial small subunit ribosomal RNA", at positions 524 to 776 of the family's 1533-position model. The record is from RNAcentral.
UACGUAGGUGGCGAGCGUUGUCCGGAAUUACUGGGUGUAAAGCGCGUGUAGGCGGGAGGCCAAGUCUGCGGUGAAAUCGCUCGGCUCAACUGGGCGGGGUCCGUGGAAACUGGUCACCUGGAGGACGGUAGAGGCGAGUGGAAUUCCCGGUGUAGUGGUGAAAUGCGUGGAGAUCGGGAGGAACACCAGUGGCGAAGGCGGCUCGCUGGGCCGGACCUGACGCUGAGACGCGAAGGCGUGGGGAGCGAACGGG